UUUGUAUUGUCUUACUAGUCUUAGGAUGUACAUUUUCAGCUAUUCUGUUUUUCAGGUGUAUUACUAAAUAACAGAAAUGUGCCACUGUACCACUGAAGAAUUGAAAAUACACUACAAAAACAGAAAGCAGAGUAAAGUAGAACCAAUUAACCUGACAGUCAAUGGAAGAACAAAACUCACAUAACUGAGACAAGAAACUCAUGAUUAUUGAUUUAAGACUCAUCAUGGAGAAGACUAAAGAGUAAGAAAAUGAAACUCUCUGAACUUAGAGACCAGCUCAAACCAUGGAGAGAUGGAGUCUGCAGAAAGGUUUGGCUCUUCCAUCAAAACACGUUGAUUCUUGACCCUGAAUAAGGCUGGUUUCAGCGCGCACCUUCUCCUAAGAAAUCAGACUCUAGAAGCAGCCUUUUGGAUUCCUAGUGCUACAGGUACUUCACUUGAAGAAAACUUAAUAGGAUUUGCAAGUCAAAGUCACAGAGAAGGACUCAGCAAGAUUCCCUUGACAAAAACAACCAAAGACUGGCCCAUUACGCAUACAUGGUUUGUGAAGCAAUGAAGUGGACAUUAAAAUUCUAUUUGUGAAAAGACACACAAAGGAUUUAAAAAAAAAAAAGCCACAGAAUGAGAGGGCGGGGAGAUAUUUGUAGCACAUUAGUUAUUAAAGGAGUUAUAUGGAUCAAUUCCAAUAAAAAUGGGCAAAAAACAUGAACAGGCACUUUACAUGAGAAGCCCUAACGCCUGAUGAACACACGAGGAGCGCCCAAGCCCGGGGGCACCAGGGAAGAGACCAUAGAACCAGAAGCAAGCCACAGACCUGCCAAGCAACAGAAGCUCAGAGGUCUCCUCAUUCCUCGUGUUGGUGACAUGCUGAGUGGCAGGAACUCUCUGCACGCUGGUAGGGAGCACAUCUGUCUAAGCCACUGGGAUGCUCUUUGGCACCAUCCACCAGAGCCGAACCCAAAAUGCCCAACCCAGGAACAGCCAUCCCAGGACAAGCCUCGUCCUAGGAGCCAAGGACGACGACUGGAUGAAGCCCUCAGAGCAGCAUGAUUUGUGAUGGCUGCAAAGGGAAAGCGAGCCAGUGUCCCCCACAGUGGUCAGGAUAAAUCCAUAGGGUGUUGCCCACCCGCUGGCAGAGAGAAUGUCAGCCAAGGCGUCAAGGCACAGCUUUCCACAAGGACAUUCACAGAGCUUGCAGGCUGCAGGGCAUUUCGGAGUCAGACCCUCUUGGAAAUUCAGUAACACCAUAGUACUAUGGAGUUACUUCUGUCUGCAGAGCCUGAACCUGCUUGAAGCAGCCCAAGACACUGGAGGGAUGAGAG
This is a long non-coding RNA of Talpa occidentalis (Iberian mole), 1322 nucleotides long. RefSeq lists it as uncharacterized. Lineage: Eukaryota; Metazoa; Chordata; Mammalia; Eulipotyphla; Talpidae. The record is from RefSeq and is a predicted model, not a curated record. The transcript is spliced from 5 exons.